RNAcentral lists this ribosomal RNA (433 nucleotides) under uncultured bacterium. Its description in RNAcentral is "partial 16S ribosomal RNA". It matches the Rfam family "Bacterial small subunit ribosomal RNA", at positions 29 to 507 of the family's 1533-position model. The record is from RNAcentral.
AACGAACGCUGGCGGCAUGCCUAACACAUGCAAGUCGAACGAGACCUUCGGGUCUAGUGGCGCACGGGGGCGUAACGCGUGGGAACCUGCCCUUAGGUUCGGAAUACCUCCCCGAGAGGGGUGCUAAUACCGGAUAAUGUCUUCGGACCAAAGAUUUCUCGCCUUUGGAUGGGCCCGCGUUGGAUUAGCUAGUUGGUAGGGUAAAAGCCUACCAAGGCGACGAUCCAUAGCUGGUGUGAGAGGAUGAUCAGCCACACUGGGACUGAGACACGGCCCAGACUCCUACGGGAGGCAGCAGUGGGGAAUAUUGGACAAUGGGCGAAAGCCUGAUCCAGCAAUGCCGCGUGAGUGAUGAAGGCCUUAGGGUUGUAAAGCUCUUUUACCCGGGAUGAUAAUGACAGUACCGGGAGAAUAAGCUCCGGCUAACUCCGUG